RNAcentral lists this ribosomal RNA (385 nucleotides) under uncultured bacterium. RNAcentral's name for it is "bacterial SSU rRNA". It matches the Rfam family "Bacterial small subunit ribosomal RNA", at positions 355 to 731 of the family's 1533-position model. The record is from RNAcentral.
UGGGGAAUCUUCCGCAAUGGACGAAAGUCUGACGGAGCAACGCCGCGUGUAUGAUGAAGGUCUUCGGAUUGUAAAGUACUGUCUUUGGGGAAGAACGGUCUUCUUGAGAAUAUUAAGGAGACAUGACGGUACCCAAGGAGGAAGCCCCGGCUAACUACGUGCCAGCAGCCGCGGUAAUACGUAGGGGGCAAGCGUUGUCCGGAAUUAUUGGGCGUAAAGGGCGCGUAGGCGGAUACUUAAGUCCGGUGUGAAAGAUCAGGGCUCAACCCUGAGAGUGCAUCGGAAACUGGGUAUCUUGAGGACAGGAGAGGAAAGUGGAAUUCCACGUGUAGCGGUGAAAUGCGUAGAUAUGUGGAGGAACACCAGUGGCGAAGGCGACUUUCUG